AUUGAACGCUGGCGGCAGGCUUAACACAUGCAAGUCGAGCGGGGUGAUGGUGCUUGCACUAUCACUUAGCGGCGGACGGGUGAGUAAUGCUUAGGAAUCUGCCUAUUAGUGGGGGACAACAUCUUGAAAGGGAUGCUAAUACCGCAUACGUCCUACGGGAGAAAGCAGGGGAUCACUUGUGACCUUGCGCUAAUAGAUGAGCCUAAGUCGGAUUAGCUAGUUGGUGGGGUAAAGGCCUACCAAGGCGACGAUCUGUAGCGGGUCUGAGAGGAUGAUCCACCACACUGGGACUGAGACACGGCCCAGACUCCUACGGGAGGCAGCAGUGGGGAAUAUUGGACAAUGGGGGGAACCCUGAUCCAGCCAUGCCGCGUGUGUGAAGAAGGCCUUAUGGUUGUAAAGCACUUUAAGCGAGGAGGAGGCUCUUUUGGUUAAUACCCAAGAUGAGUGGACGUUACUCGCAGAAUAAGCACCGGCUAACUCUGUGCCAGCCGCCGCGGUAA
RNAcentral lists this ribosomal RNA (503 nucleotides) under uncultured bacterium. RNAcentral's name for it is "partial 16S ribosomal RNA". It matches the Rfam family "Bacterial small subunit ribosomal RNA", at positions 30 to 523 of the family's 1533-position model. The record is from RNAcentral.